RNAcentral lists this ribosomal RNA (465 nucleotides) under Vreelandella stevensii. RNAcentral's name for it is "partial 16S ribosomal RNA". It matches the Rfam family "Bacterial small subunit ribosomal RNA", at positions 338 to 795 of the family's 1533-position model. The record is from RNAcentral. Lineage: Bacteria; Pseudomonadati; Pseudomonadota; Gammaproteobacteria; Oceanospirillales; Halomonadaceae.
CCUACGGGUGGCAGCAGUGGGGAAUAUUGGACAAUGGGCGAAAGCCUGAUCCAGCCAUGCCGCGUGUGUGAAGAAGGCCUUCGGGUUGUAAAGCACUUUCAGUGGGGAAGAAAGCCUUGGGGCUAAUACCCUCGAGGAAGGACAUCACCCACAGAAGAAGCACCGGCUAACUCCGUGCCAGCAGCCGCGGUAAUACGGAGGGUGCGAGCGUUAAUCGGAAUUACUGGGCGUAAAGCGCGCGUAGGCGGUCUGAUAAGCCGGUUGUGAAAGCCCCGGGCUCAACCUGGGAACGGCAUCCGGAACUGUCAGGCUAGAGUGCAGGAGAGGAAGGUAGAAUUCCCGGUGUAGCAGUGAAAUGCGUAGAGACCGGGAGGAAUACCAGUGGCGAAGGCGGCCUUCUGGACUGACACUGACGCUGAGGUGCGAAAGCGUGGGUAGCAAACAGGAUUAGAUACCCGAGUAGUC